CAGUCGCCGCGGGAAUACGUAGGGUGCGAGCGUUAAUCGGAAUUACUGGGCGUAAAGCGUGCGCAGGCGGUUGUGUAAGACAGGUGUGAAAUCCCCGGGUUUAACCUGGGAACUGCGCUUGUGACUGCACAGCUAGAGUAUGGCAGAGGGGGGUGGAAUUCCACGUGUAGCAGUGAAAUGCGUAGAGAUGUGGAGGAACACCGAUGGCGAAGGCAGCCCCCUGGGCCAAUACUGACGCUCAUGCACGAAAGCGUGGGGAGCAAACAGGAUUAGAUACCCGGGUAGUCCCUGUCUCUUAUAC
This 301-nucleotide ribosomal RNA is filed under the name uncultured bacterium. RNAcentral describes it as "partial 16S ribosomal RNA". It matches the Rfam family "Bacterial small subunit ribosomal RNA", at positions 509 to 807 of the family's 1533-position model. The record is from RNAcentral.